This 404-nucleotide ribosomal RNA is filed under the name uncultured bacterium. RNAcentral describes it as "bacterial SSU rRNA". It matches the Rfam family "Bacterial small subunit ribosomal RNA", at positions 430 to 826 of the family's 1533-position model. The record is from RNAcentral.
GCACUUUAAGCAGUGAAGAAGACUCUAUGGUUAAUACCCAUAGACGAUGACAUUAGCUGCAGAAUAAGCACCGGCUAACUCUGUGCCAGCAGCCGCGGUAAUACAGAGGGUGCAAGCGUUAAUCGGAAUUACUGGGCGUAAAGCGAGCGUAGGUGGCUUGAUAAGUCAGAUGUGAAAGCCCCGGGCUUAACCUGGGAACGGCAUCUGAUACUGUUAGGCUAGAGUAGGAGAGAGGAAGGUAGAAUUCCAGGUGUAGCGGUGAAAUGCGUAGAGAUCUGGAGGAAUACCGAUGGCGAAGGCAGCCUUCUGGCAUCAUACUGACACUGAGGUUCGAAAGCGUGGGUAGCAAACAGGAUUAGAUACCCUGGUAGUCCACGCCGUAAACGAUGUCUACUAGUCGUUGG